RNAcentral lists this long non-coding RNA (211 nucleotides) under Mytilus galloprovincialis (Mediterranean mussel). Lineage: Eukaryota; Metazoa; Mollusca; Bivalvia; Mytilida; Mytilidae. The record is from RNAcentral.
CUGUUACUAUAUACAUGUAGAUGAUAUUGACUUUACCUUUGUCCAGUGCAUAUAUAAUGAAUAAACCUUUGUGAUGUAAAAAUAUUGUUCCAAGACUUAACCAUCCCAGUUAAUGUUUUAAAUCCUUGAGUUUAAUAAUUUUUACAUCUUUUGUGUUACCCUGAAUACUUUUUACUUAUUCAUUUGUUAUAACAGCUUGCAUUAAAUAAUG